AUUGAACGCUGGCGGCAGGCCUAACACAUGCAAGUCGAACGAGCGGCGGACGGGUGAGUAAUGUCUGGGAAACUGCCUGAUGGCGGGGGAUAACUACUGGAAACGGUGUCUAAUACCGCAUACCCUCAGAUGUGCCCAGAUAGGAUUAGCUAGUCGGUGUGGUAACGGCGCACCUAGGCGAAGAUCCCUAGCUGGUCUGCGAGGAUGACCAGCCACGAUGGAACUGAGACACGGUCCAGACUCCUACGGGAGGCAGCAGUGGGGAAUAUUGGACAAGGGGCGAAAGCCGGAUGCAGCAAUGCCGCGUGUGUGAAGAAGGCCUUCGGGUUGUAAAGCACUUUCAGCGGGGAGGCGUUACCCGCAGAAGAAGCACCGGCUAACUCAGUGCCAGCAGCCGCGGUAAUUC
This 406-nucleotide ribosomal RNA is filed under the name uncultured bacterium. RNAcentral describes it as "partial 16S ribosomal RNA". It matches the Rfam family "Bacterial small subunit ribosomal RNA", at positions 30 to 526 of the family's 1533-position model. The record is from RNAcentral.